RNAcentral lists this ribosomal RNA (513 nucleotides) under uncultured bacterium. Its description in RNAcentral is "bacterial SSU rRNA". It matches the Rfam family "Bacterial small subunit ribosomal RNA", at positions 8 to 520 of the family's 1533-position model. The record is from RNAcentral.
AGAGUUUGAUCCUGGCUCAGAAUGAACGCUGGCGGCAGGCCUUACACAUGCAAGUCGAACGGUAGAGGAGCAAUCCUCGAGAGUGGCGAACGGGUGAGUAAUGUAUCGGAACGUGCCCAGUAGUGGGGGAUAGCCCGGCGAAAGCCGGAUUAAUACCGCAUGAGACCUGAGGGUGAAAGCGGGGGACUCGCAAGAGCCUCGCGCUACUGGAGCGGCCGAUAUCAGAUUAGGUAGUUGGUGGGGUAAAAGCCUACCAAGCCUGCGAUCUGUAGCUGGUCUGAGAGGACGACCAGCCACACUGGGACUGAGACACGGCCCAGACUCCUACGGGAGGCAGCAGUGGGGAAUUUUGGACAAUGGGCGAAAGCCUGAUCCAGCCAUGCCGCGUGCGGGAAGAAGGCCUUCGGGUUGUAAACCGCUUUUGUCAGGGAAGAAAUCCUUUGAGUUAAUACCUCGGAGGGAUGACGGUACCUGAAGAAUAAGCACCGGCUAACUACGUGCCAGCAGCCGCGG